Molecule: ribosomal RNA, 433 nt
Filed under: uncultured bacterium
Lineage: Bacteria
Description: partial 16S ribosomal RNA
Rfam family: Bacterial small subunit ribosomal RNA
Source: RNAcentral
AACGAACGCUGGCGGCAGGCCUAACACAUGCAAGUCGAGCGAGGACUUCGGUCCUAGCGGCGGACGGGUGCGUAACGCGUGGGAACGUGCCCUUUGCUUCGGAAUAGCCCUGGGAAACUGGGCGUAAUACCGGCUGAGCCCUCUGGGGGAAAGAUUUAUCGGCGAAGGAUCGGCCCGCGUUGGAUUAGCUAGUUGGUGGGGUAAUGGCCUACCAAGCCGACGAUCCAUAGCUGGUUUGAGAGGAUGAUCAGCCACACUGGGACUGAGACACGGCCCAGACUCCUACGGGAGGGAGCAGUGGGGAAUCUUAGACAAUGGGGGAAACCCUGAUCGAGCCAUGCCGCGUGAGCGAUGAAGGCCUUAGGGUUGUAAAGCUCUCUCAGCUGGGAAGAUAAUGACGGUACCAGCAGAAGAAGCCCCGGCUAACUCCGUG